CCUACGGGAGGCAGCAGUAGGGAAUAUUGCUCAAUGGGGGAAACCCUGAAGCAGCAACGCCGCGUGGAGGAUGAAGGUUUUCGGAUUGUAAACCUCUUUUGUCAGGGAACAAAGGCGGGGACUAGUCCCCGGAUGAGGGUACCUGAAGAAAAAGCAUCGGCUAACUCCGUGCCAGCAGCCGCGGUAAUACGGAGGAUUCAAGCGUUAUCCGGAUUUAUUGGGUUUAAAGGGUGCGUGGGCGGUCCGGAAAGUCAGCGGUAAAAGCCCGGGGCGCAACCCCGGCGAGCCGUUGAAACUGUCGGACUAGAGACGGCGAGAAGUACGCGGAAUGCGCGGUGUAGCGGUGAAAUGCAUAGAUAGCGCGAAGAACUCCGAUUGCGAAGGCAGCGUACCGGCGCCGGACUGACGCUGAGGCACGAAAGCGUGGGUAUCGAACAGGAUUAGAUACCCUAGUAGUC
RNAcentral lists this ribosomal RNA (458 nucleotides) under uncultured bacterium. RNAcentral's name for it is "partial 16S ribosomal RNA". It matches the Rfam family "Bacterial small subunit ribosomal RNA", at positions 338 to 795 of the family's 1533-position model. The record is from RNAcentral.